Molecule: ribosomal RNA, 235 nt
Filed under: uncultured bacterium
Lineage: Bacteria
Description: partial 16S ribosomal RNA
Rfam family: Bacterial small subunit ribosomal RNA
Source: RNAcentral
UGGCGGACGGGUGAGUAAUGUCUGGGAAACUGCCCGAUGGAGGGGGAUAACUACUGGAAACGGUAGCUAAUACCGCAUAACGUCGCAAGACCAAGGAGGGGGACCUUCGGGCCUCUUGCCAUCGGAUGUGCCCAGAUGGGAUUAGCUAGUAGGUAAGGUAACGGCUUACCUAGGCGACGAUCCCUAGCUGGUCUGAGAGGAUGAUCAGCCACACUGGGACUGAGACACGGCCCAG